AGAGCUGCAUUAACUCAACUUCUUCUUUAUUAUACGAGGCUUUCAGAUUGUAUAAAGAGGAUAAAUGGUGGGUCUAACUUGAACAAAGAUCUUGUUUCAAUUUCAUCGAUAAUGUAUGAGAUCAGAAAAUACUCUUAGGACUUUCUAGGACAUUUUUCUAUUUUCGUGUUCGUUUUACAGUCUCUUUUGGUUUUUUUUUUGUCCUUGUUCUUUUUAGAGUCUCCUGAAUCUCUGUAUUUGCGUGUAAAGAGUUUCAGUUGACCAUUACAUUGUUAUUCAACUGACAUUUUGUAAGAUCUCAUGUGUUUCAAUGACAUCUUCUAAAUAUAUGUAACUAGGACCUCCUUUCAAUGUUGGACAAGACACAUUAUUUUGUUUCAUACUAAGGACUUUCUAGGACAUUUUUCUAUUUUCAUGUUCGUCUUACUGUCUCUUUUACUUUUUUUUUUCUUGUUCUUUUUAAAGCUCUUAAAUCUCUGUAUCUGCGUGUAAAGAGUUUCAGUUGAUCACUACAUUGUUAUUCAACUGACAUUUUGUAAGAUCUUAUGUGUUUCAGUGACAAUAUUCUAAAUAUAUGUAAUCCUUGCGAUAUUCUUGAUUUUGUGUUUCGUGAAUUUUUUUAUUUUGUGCCUCACAUAACUGAUACUAGUUGUGUGGGGUUUUGUUUUAUCUCACAACAAAAUUAUCUCACACAACUAGUGUUAGUUGUGUGAUAUUCCUGUUUCCCAUUCUCUGUUCUGUUCGUUAAAGCCGAUAGUCUAUUAAAAACAACCUCUCUAUGAGGUCGGGAUAAGGUAUGUUUAUAUAUUAUUCUUCACAGAUCUUAUUUAUGGGAUCAAAUUGGAUUUUUUGUUGUUAUUGUU
This 863-nucleotide long non-coding RNA is filed under the name Nicotiana benthamiana. Its description in RNAcentral is "long non-coding RNA (NBEN_LNC031109)". Lineage: Eukaryota; Viridiplantae; Streptophyta; Magnoliopsida; Solanales; Solanaceae. The record is from RNAcentral.